This 447-nucleotide ribosomal RNA is filed under the name uncultured Pelagibacterales bacterium. Its description in RNAcentral is "bacterial SSU rRNA". It matches the Rfam family "Bacterial small subunit ribosomal RNA", at positions 1072 to 1533 of the family's 1533-position model. Lineage: Bacteria; Pseudomonadati; Pseudomonadota; Alphaproteobacteria; Candidatus Pelagibacterales. The record is from RNAcentral.
GAGAGUGGGUUAGUCCGCACGAGCGCACCUUACUUUUAGUUGCCAUCAUUUAGUUGGGCACUCUGAAAGAACUGCCAGUGAUAAGCUGGAGGAAGGUGGGGAUGACGUCAAGUCCUCAUGGCCCUUAUGUGUUGGGCUACACACGUGCUACAAUGGUAUCUACAAUAGGAAGCAAGAUGGCGACGUCAAGCAAAUCCUAAAAAAAUGCCUCAGUUCGGAUUGUACUCUGCAACUCGAGUACAUGAAGCUGGAAUUACUAGUAAUCGUGGAUCAGCGUGCCACGGUGAAUACGUUCCCGGGUCUUGUACACACCGCCCGUCACACCAUGGGAGUUGGUUCUACCUUAAGGCAAGGUUUAAUACCCUUGACCACGGUAUAGUCAGCGACUGGGGUGUAGUCGUAACAAGGUAGCCGUAGGGGAACCUGCGGCUGGAUUACCUCCUUUCU